CAGUUGUUGCAUUAUUUUCCUGGUGAAUGCAAGAUCAACAAGACUGUAUCAGCUUUCCUUGGGAUGCAGGAAAGAAGACCAUAGAGAGGCAAACACGUCCCUCUGGAAAAUGUGACACCCCUCCCACAUGACCUGUGGAGUGCAGGUGGCCCUGAGAUUUACGAUCCCUUCCUGGGAGCCAAGUAAAAGCCAAGCGACCAUCAGCCUGCCCACACCACCUAUGGGAAAUGUUCCUACCUUGCACGGUUCCAACCAGGAGCCCAGGCGAUGCCCGUUGACCAUAAGAAGCUGUGUUUAUUGGCCAGGGCUGGUGGCAGGAAACCGGGGUCUGGAGCCCCAAGCACUGGGCUGGCUCUGCCUCUGCU
Molecule: long non-coding RNA, 365 nt
Filed under: Heterocephalus glaber (naked mole-rat)
Lineage: Eukaryota; Metazoa; Chordata; Mammalia; Rodentia; Bathyergidae
Description: lncRNA (ENSHGLG00100040260.1)
Source: RNAcentral